Long non-coding RNA from Frieseomelitta varia, 507 nucleotides. RefSeq lists it as uncharacterized. The transcript has 3 exons. The record is from RefSeq and is a predicted model, not a curated record. NCBI's taxonomy places the organism in Eukaryota, Metazoa, Arthropoda, Insecta, Hymenoptera, Apidae.
CGUAACUUUUUUUCAAACCAACUGCACGUAUAUACGUAUGUGAUUGACAGCGACGACUAGCGGUGAAACAUAUAAACGAUAGCCAUUCGAUUCUUUAUAUCGAUCGAUCAUACGAUGAUGUCGAACUGUGAACGGUUAAGUGAGAGUUGCGAAAUUUGUGGAAUAAUUGUUUCUAUAAUUGACGCGAGUGUUACGUGUGCUUUUGCCGGAAUGUCCGAAAUUCUAUUACGCGGGAUAUAUAUUGUAAUUUACUGUGAUUGUGGCUUGUGACGAAUCAAGUGUCAUUGAUGGUGGAGGACAAUAAUAUAGGCUGCCUGUAACAUCGGAGGAGGAUUCCAUCUUGUGCUCGUGAUGACAGGAAUGUCGAGGCAGCGGUACGCGGGCCGCAGCAGCGGUGACAGAUAAGGAAGGGAGGAGCCACGCGUCGAGCAAUCAUGUGUAGUGUCAUGUGGCUCCUUCGGCUCCUAACGACUUGCUGCCUCGUUUACCUAUCGGCGUCCGACUCUC